RNAcentral lists this long non-coding RNA (625 nucleotides) under Mytilus galloprovincialis (Mediterranean mussel). The record is from RNAcentral. Lineage: Eukaryota; Metazoa; Mollusca; Bivalvia; Mytilida; Mytilidae.
GGUAUUUUCUCUGAGUCGUUUAGAUCACUCGAAACUAGGUGAGACAUGCACAAAAGUGAUAUAUAUGCAUUAUUAAUAUAGAAAAUUGAAUAUCUUAAUCAACGAGAAAAAAAUAUAUCUGUAUCAUAUGCCCAAGGCCUGUGGUUUAAUAUACAAAAAAGGCAGUUUUGUAUUCUUUGAUAUCAAGUUCAAUUAUCGAUGCAGAAAAGACAAUUUUUUUCUGUGUCCAGUAUCAUCGUAGAGCAUAUUCUUAAAAUAUUUUCCCGCACAAUAUCUAGACAUUGGUGGACAUGCAACAUUGCGCACGUUUAGAAAUGAAAAUCAACACUCAGACUAUAGUCAUAAAGUAGGAAAAUAAAAGAACAAAAGACCGUGAAACCCGAGACACAGAAGUACAAACAAUAGACCAUCAACUCCGAAAACCAAAAGUAAAAUAGAAACAUGGAUCACGAAAAAAAUGCAGGGGCGACAUCAGGGAGUGAAGAGAACUUGCUUCUUGCACGACACUUUCCUUGAAAACAAUUUGAUAUGAAGACAAUCAUUUUUUUCAGUCUUUUUUUUUUUUUUUUUGAAAUUUCCAGCGUGAGGCAUUUGCCUCAUUUACCUCAAUGUAGUUACGGCCCUG